Lepidothrix coronata (blue-crowned manakin) is the source of this 379-nucleotide long non-coding RNA. RefSeq lists it as uncharacterized. The transcript has 3 exons. The record is from RefSeq and is a predicted model, not a curated record. NCBI's taxonomy places the organism in Eukaryota, Metazoa, Chordata, Aves, Passeriformes, Pipridae.
UAGUGGACACCGACAUCUAAAUCAGUAGUAAAAAGAAAAGCAGGAACCCAGGACAGUGGGGAAGGACUCCAGCAAUGCAAACAUGAGUUGAAUUAUCCUGCUACUUAUCAAGAAGAAAAGAAGAGCAAAAGAUCAUUGGUUUAAUGGACGUGUUUUGGAUUUACAACUGGCAUCCUAGAAGCAGAAAUGUUCCUGUAGAUGUAGAAAUAUCAUGGUAACACUGCCCAGGAAAUCAGGGAGCUUGGUGACCAGUGUGGGAGCCUGCACAUGGAUUGCCCAGCCAUUCCUGACAACCAGCCUGGUGGCUGGAUUGGGCUGCAGCCUCUUCCCCAAACCCCCUGGGCCAUAUUGUUGUCCUGAUGAUUUCAACAGGCAUGUG